UGUCUUGUAAUUGGAAUGAUGGGAAUUUAAACCUCUUCCAGAGUAUCAAUUGGAGGGCAAGUCUGGUGCCAGCAGCCGCGGUAAUUCCAGCUCCAAUAGCGUAUAUUAAAAUUGUUGCAGUUAAAAAGCUCGUAGUUGAAUUUCUGCUGCAUUGCUUUUGCUCCUUUACGAGUCUUUGCAUUGUGGCUUAUUUCGGACUUUGUUUUACAAUGUCCGGAUGUUUACUUUGAGAAAAUUAGAGUGCUCAAAGCAGGCUUUCGCCUUGAAUAGUUUAGCAUGGAAUAAUAAAGUAGGACUUUGGUUCUAUUUUGUUGGUUUUAGGUACCAAAGUAAUGGUUAAUAGGAACAGUUGGGGGCAUUCGUAUUUAACUGUCAGAGGUGAAAUUCUUAGAUUUGUUAAAGACGAACUACUGCGAAAGCAUUUGCCAAGGAUGUUUUCAUUAAUCAAGAACGAAAGUUAGGGGAUCGAAGACGAUCAGAUACCGUCGUAGUCCUA
This 496-nucleotide ribosomal RNA is filed under the name Theileria ovis. RNAcentral's name for it is "SSU rRNA". It matches the Rfam family "Eukaryotic small subunit ribosomal RNA", at positions 499 to 1028 of the family's 1831-position model. The record is from RNAcentral. Lineage: Eukaryota; Apicomplexa; Aconoidasida; Piroplasmida; Theileriidae.